CACACAUCACAAGGAAGUUUCUCAGAUUGCUUUUGUCUAGAUUUUAUGUGAAGAUAUUUCCUUUUCUACCAUAGGCCACAAAGUGCUCCCAAUGUCCACCUGCAGAUCCUACAUAAAGAGUGUUUCCAAACUGCACCACCAAAAGAAAGGUUCAACUCUGUGAGAUGAACGCAUACAUCACAAAGAAGUUUCUCUGAAUUCUUCUGUCUAGUUUUUAUGUGAAGAUAUUCCCUUUUCUACCAUAGGCCUCAAGGUUCUCGAAAUAUCCACUUGCAGAUUCUACAAAAAGAGUGUUUCAAAACUGCUCAAUGAAAAGAAAGGUUCAAUCCUGUGAGAUGAAUGCACACAUCGCAAAGAAGUUUUUCAGAAUUCUUCU
RNAcentral lists this long non-coding RNA (376 nucleotides) under Homo sapiens (human). RNAcentral describes it as "HSALNT0402851". Lineage: Eukaryota; Metazoa; Chordata; Mammalia; Primates; Hominidae. The record is from RNAcentral.